This 534-nucleotide ribosomal RNA is filed under the name Triticum aestivum (bread wheat). Its description in RNAcentral is "partial small subunit ribosomal RNA". The record is from RNAcentral. Lineage: Eukaryota; Viridiplantae; Streptophyta; Magnoliopsida; Poales; Poaceae.
AUGUCGACAGGUAGCAGCCGUGCCCCUCCUCCUCGCCUUCUCUGCUCCCCUCCUCCUCUCCAAUCUAGGUUGCGCAUUUGCGUCCUCGGCAUCUUACUUUCCCAGUUUUUUACUCCUUUGAUUUUCCGAUUAUCGGAUAAUCUAAUUCAAUUUCUAAGUUUCUGGUUACUUGUGAUGAGUAGAAGAAGAAUUUUGAUGAAGGAUUUGAUAAAGAAGAACAGGCGGCAUUCAGGUCUCCUACUAAAGCUCCUCGCCGGCGUGGCCACUCUCCCCUCCAACUGCAGGCUGAGACAAAAUAUUGGCAAGCAUUACCAUUAUGAUCCUCCAUCGAUCAUCAUGGUUGAAGGAAAAUGUAUUAGGCAUGGUAUUUUCAAGCUAAGUAUACCAGCAGCCGAUGCUGGACCUCCUGAUGCAUAUAGUUUGCAUAUUUCUAUUCAUCCAAUUCCUUCAUCCAUUUUUCCUUAUUUUUCUGUUCGCUCAUUUAUUCUAGCAUAUUCCUAUCAGUAUUUUUCAGCUGAAGGAUAUAUGCUCUGA